GAUGAACGCUAGCGGGAGGCCUAACACAUGCAAGCCGAGCGGUAGAGAUUCUUCGGGAUCUUGAGAGCGGCGUACGGGUGCGGAACACGUGUGCAACCUACCUUUAUCAGGGGGAUAGCCUUUCGAAAGGAAGAUUAAUACCCCAUAAUAUAAACCAAGGCAUCUUGAUUUAUUGAAAACUCCGGUGGAUAGAGAUGGGCACGCGCAAGAUUAGAUAGUUGGUAGGGUAACGGCCUACCAAGUCAGUGAUCUUUAGGGGGCCUGAGAGGGUGAUCCCCCACACUGGUACUGAGACACGGACCAGACUCCUACGGGAGGCAGCAGUGAGGAAUAUUGGACAAUGGGUGAGAGCCUGAUCCAGCCAUCCCGCGUGAAGGACGACGGCCCUAUGGGUUGUAAACUUCUUUUGUAUAGGGAUAAACCUACUCUCGUGAGAGUAGCUGAAGGUACUAUACGAAUAAGCACCGGCUAACUCCGUG
This 479-nucleotide ribosomal RNA is filed under the name uncultured organism. RNAcentral describes it as "bacterial SSU rRNA". It matches the Rfam family "Bacterial small subunit ribosomal RNA", at positions 28 to 507 of the family's 1533-position model. The record is from RNAcentral.